This 73-nucleotide transfer RNA is filed under the name Stegodyphus mimosarum. It matches the Rfam family "tRNA". From Rfam's summary of the family: Transfer RNA (tRNA) molecules are approximately 80 nucleotides in length. Their secondary structure includes four short double-helical elements and three loops (D, anti-codon, and T loops). Lineage: Eukaryota; Metazoa; Arthropoda; Arachnida; Araneae; Eresidae. The record is from Rfam by way of RNAcentral.
GGCUUCGUGGUGUAGUGGUCAGCACGCUCGACGCGUAACCGAGAGGUCCGUGGUUCGAUUCUCGGCGAAGGCG